GGGCUUACUGGGACCGUCCAGAGUGCUUUGAUCUGUCCAGCAGGAGUAUGGCCUUCACCUUCAGAAAAGCCAAUCAAGAGAAAUCCAAACUUAGGAAACCAAAAUGAGGACAAAGGGAUUCACAUUACAUACAAAUGGAUUCGUUGCAAAAGGCUUUUGAUGACGCUCAUCUGCUGUGUAAAAAGAGGCGCCCUUGGAUGAAGCGUGUAAGUAGGCACGGUCGGUGCAUCUCAGUACUGGUGUCCUGGGGCUUUGCAAAGGCUGGAUGGCAAAUGCGUGUCUUGGCUAUUAUGUCUCUGUGGGAAACAUGGAUGAAAGCAAUUCCGUCUCCUCCCUGUGUCCUCGAUCUUGUUCCCACCGGCACUACUCAAAGAACCAGCAGCCCCUCGGAACACCUACUGGAGCCCACCUUCACCAGCCCACCCACUGCCGUGACACGUACCAACAGGGGCAAGCCCGUUCUAGGCUCGGCCGGCGCGGCGCCAUGACGGGUGUGCGUGAGCGUCGGAAGACUGACCCUGGGCGCGGGCGAGAAGCGGCUUUGCAACCUGCUAGCUGUGGGACCUUGGAGAAGGUACCCAAACCCGAGCUGGGUCUUCCUCACCUGGGAAACGGCAAUAGCAUACUCUACCCUAUGGGGCAGUCGUGA
Molecule: long non-coding RNA, 649 nt
Filed under: Ursus thibetanus thibetanus
Lineage: Eukaryota; Metazoa; Chordata; Mammalia; Carnivora; Ursidae
Description: lncRNA (ENSUTTG00000007046.1)
Source: RNAcentral